This 1104-nucleotide long non-coding RNA is filed under the name Nicotiana tabacum (common tobacco). Its description in RNAcentral is "long non-coding RNA (NTAB_LNC007728)". The record is from RNAcentral. Lineage: Eukaryota; Viridiplantae; Streptophyta; Magnoliopsida; Solanales; Solanaceae.
ACAAAGUGGGGCCCACACCCUAAUAUUUUAAGAACAUCUUCCUACAUCAUUAUGGGGGAGGGUAUGUGCUAAGUAACGAUUGAAUUCGUAUGAAAAUUUCAGAACGCUACAGUAGCGUGAGAUGCAAUUUUAGGAGAGCACGACACAAUCUUUUUCAAGAAUAUCAUACGGUUUUUUCCCUACUUCGAUCUGCCGUUACAUGUUUUAUCGUGUUUGACGUGUGUUGGAAGAAUUAUCAAGAGAACCGUCUUAGGUAUGUUAAGGCUAUACCUUCUUUCCGUUUGGCAUGAUCCAAGUAAUGAUACGUAAACGUAAUGUUAUUUCAUAAAUGGUUCUACUCUUAGUAACUAAGAAGGUUUACGUUGCUCAUUCCUGUAACAUGAUAUUUAAAGCAUGCCUAAGUAUGUUCCUAGCAAUCUAUUAAUGUACUUAAUAAAGAUGUUAAUGUCAUAAUGGUAUUAUAUGCAUCAUCACUUACCACCAAGCUACGGCCGGUCGGGAAGUCAUGCAUUUACCACCGAACUACGACCGAUUGGGCAUUUACACAUUUACCAUCGAGCUGCGACCGGUCAGACAGUCACACAUUUACCAUUGCGCUACAGCCGAUUACCACUGUUCAGUUGAGCAGUUAACGUCACUAGAAUGAUGUAAUCAGAAUUAUUAUAUUGUAGUUUUAUUUAUAUAUACGAGAUAGGUCUUAUUCCAUAUGUUAUAGCCCUCAACGGCAAGUCAGAGGUUAUAAGUUGACUCUUAUCCCUCCCCGAGAUAGUAUCUUAUUAUUACAUUUCAUUUUUGCCUUACAUACUCGGUACAUUCUUCGUACUAACGUCCCUUUUUCUGGGGUGCUGUGCUUCAUGCCACACAGGUGUAGAUAGGUGAGGUGAGGACCCUCAACUGUAGGCUGCCUCCAGAUAUCAGCUUUUGGUUGGUGAGCUCCACUUCUUCCUGGAGUAUUACCGAGUCAUGUUCUAUAUAUGUUAUUUUGUUUUAUGAGGAUGUUGGGAACCCUAUCCCAACUUAUAUAUUAUGGUCAUGUUUUCUUAGAGGUUUUGCAGACAGUGUCUUAUGUAUAAUUUUAGGUAUGACAUGUCAACGGCCUUGUCG